GACGAACGCUGGCGGCGUGCCUAAUACAUGCAAGUAGAACGCUGAAGAGAGGAGCUUACUCUUCUUGGAUGAGUUGCGAACGGGUGAGUAACGCGUAGGUAACCUGCCUUGUAGCGGGGGAUAACUAUUGGAAACGAUAGCUAAUACCGCAUAACAAUGGAUGACACAUGUCAUUUAUUUGAAAGGGGCAAUUGCUCCACUACAAGAUGGACCUGCGUUGUAUUAGCUAGUAGGUGAGGUAAUGGCUCACCUAGGCGACGAUACAUAGCCGACCUGAGAGGGUGAUCGGCCACACUGGGACUGAGACACGGCCCAGACUCCUACGGGAGGCAGCAGUAGGGAAGCUUCGGCAAUGGGGGCAACCCUGACCGAGCAACGCCGCGUGAGUGAAGAAGGUUUUCGGAUCGUAAAGCUCUGUUGUAAGUCAAGAACGAGUGUGAGAGUGGAAAGUUCACACUGUGACGGUAGCUUACCAGAAAGGGACGGCUAACUACGUG
This 497-nucleotide ribosomal RNA is filed under the name uncultured bacterium. RNAcentral's name for it is "partial 16S ribosomal RNA". It matches the Rfam family "Bacterial small subunit ribosomal RNA", at positions 28 to 507 of the family's 1533-position model. The record is from RNAcentral.